This 213-nucleotide unclassified non-coding RNA is filed under the name uncultured Basidiomycota. RNAcentral describes it as "sequence contains ITS2". The record is from RNAcentral. Lineage: Eukaryota; Fungi; Basidiomycota.
GUAAUCUCAACUUGGCUUGGGAGUUUUCUUUCAAGUUGAAGUUUGGACUUUGGAGAGUGCUGGCUUUUUGUAAACCUGCUCCUCUGAAAAGCAUUAGCAAAAUAGCUGAUUGGGCUUGAUCACGCUUUGUGAGCAUUGAUAAAAUCCACAUCACAUGCCACUCGUUGAAUGAGUCCUUUCACAUUUGUUUUGCCAAAUUGAACAUUUUGAAAC